Molecule: non-coding RNA, 131 nt
Organism: Aspergillus ibericus CBS 121593
Lineage: Eukaryota; Fungi; Ascomycota; Eurotiomycetes; Eurotiales; Aspergillaceae
Source: the annotation of a RefSeq genome assembly
GGGCCUAUGGCGCAAUUGGUAGCGCGUAGUAAGUUCACCUUGAAACCAAUCAAGAUCUCCCAAACAUCCUCUAACCACAUCAACAGCGACUCCAGAUCGUAAGGUUGUCCGAUCGAGCCGGGCUGGGCUCA